Molecule: ribosomal RNA, 354 nt
Filed under: uncultured bacterium
Lineage: Bacteria
Description: bacterial SSU rRNA
Rfam family: Bacterial small subunit ribosomal RNA
Source: RNAcentral
AACGAACGCUGGCGGCAGGCCUAACACAUGCAAGUCGAGCGAGACCUUCGGGUCUAGCGGCGGACGGGUGAGUAACGCGUGGGAACGUACCCUUCUCUGCAGGAUAGCCACUGGAAACGGUGAGUAAUACUGCAUACGCCCUUCGGGGGAAAGAUUUAUCGGAGAAGGAUCGGCCCGCGUUAGAUUAGGUAGUUGGUGGGGUAAUGGCCUACCAAGCCUACGAUCUAUAGCUGGUUUGAGAGGAUGAUCAGCCACACUGGGACUGAGACACGGCCCAGACUCCUACGGGAGCAGCAGUGGGAAUCUAGACAAUGGGCAACCUGAUCUAGCCAUGCCGCGUGAGUGAUGAAGGCC